GCCGAAUGUUAUAAGGUU
This 18-nucleotide microRNA is filed under the name Tribolium castaneum (red flour beetle). Its description in RNAcentral is "tca-miR-3873-5p". Lineage: Eukaryota; Metazoa; Arthropoda; Insecta; Coleoptera; Tenebrionidae. The record is from miRBase by way of RNAcentral.